GGCGACCGGCGCACGGGUGAGUAACACGUAUCCAACCUGCCGAUAACUCGGGGAUAGCCUUUCGAAAGAAAGAUUAAUAUCCGAUAGCAUAUCAAUCCCAUGAGAUUGAUAUUAAAGAAUUUCGGUUAUCGAUGGGGAUGCGUUCCAUUAGUUUGUUGGCGGGGUAACGGCCCACCAAGACUACGAUGGAUAGGGGUUCUGAGAGGAAGGUCCCCCACAUUGGAACUGAGACACGGUCCAA
This 241-nucleotide ribosomal RNA is filed under the name uncultured bacterium. Its description in RNAcentral is "partial 16S ribosomal RNA". It matches the Rfam family "Bacterial small subunit ribosomal RNA", at positions 90 to 334 of the family's 1533-position model. The record is from RNAcentral.